Molecule: long non-coding RNA, 240 nt
Filed under: Manihot esculenta (cassava)
Lineage: Eukaryota; Viridiplantae; Streptophyta; Magnoliopsida; Malpighiales; Euphorbiaceae
Description: long non-coding RNA (MESC_LNC008758)
Source: RNAcentral
GGGUGCCUAGAGGUUUGAUGUCAGCCCUACAGGCUCGUAGAUUGCUCAGGAGAGGUUAUCAGAGGGUUUCUAGCUCUUGCUGAGAGUUUAGUAGUCAGGUCAGGGAACCAGCCUCAGUGUCUGUUGUUUGAGAGAGAGUUCUUAGAAGUUUUCCCAGGCGAGCUGUCAGGUUUACCACUUGCUAGAGAGUUAGAGUUUGGAAUAGGAGUGGUGUCUGGACCCAGAACCAUUUCUAUUCUU